RNAcentral lists this ribosomal RNA (497 nucleotides) under uncultured bacterium. RNAcentral describes it as "partial 16S ribosomal RNA". It matches the Rfam family "Bacterial small subunit ribosomal RNA", at positions 28 to 507 of the family's 1533-position model. The record is from RNAcentral.
GACGAACGCUGGCGGCGUGCCUAACACAUGCAAGUAGAACGCUGAAGAGAGGAGUUCGCGCUUCUCGGAUGAGUUGCGAACGGGUGAGUAGCGCGUAGUUUACCCUCCUCGUAGGGGGGGAUAACGAUUGGAAACGAUAGCUACUACCGCAUAACAAUGGAUGACACAUGUCAUUUAUUUUAAAUGGGCAAUUGCUGCACUACAAGACGGACCUGCGUUGUAUUAGCUAGUGGGUCAGGUAAUGGCCUACCUAGGCGGCGAUACAUAGACGACCUGGGAGGGUGAUAGGCGGCCCGGGGACGGGGACAGGGCCAAGAGGACUACGAGACGCAGCAGAAGCGAAUGUUAGGCAAUGGGGGCGACCCUGACCCAGCGACGCCGAGUGAGUGGCGAAGGUUCCCGGAUCGUAAAGCUCUGUUGUAAGUUAAGAACGGGUGUGAGAGUGGAAAGUUCACACUGUGACGGUAGCUUGACAGAAAGCGACGGCUAACUACGUG